Molecule: ribosomal RNA, 428 nt
Filed under: uncultured bacterium
Lineage: Bacteria
Description: partial 16S ribosomal RNA
Rfam family: Bacterial small subunit ribosomal RNA
Source: RNAcentral
GUAGGGAAUAUUGCACAAUGGGGGAAACCCUGAUGCAGCGACGCCGCGUGAGUGAUGAAGGCCUUCGGGUCGUAAAGCUCUGUCGUAUGGGACUAACACAAUGAAGGUACCAUGCAAGAAAGGAUCGGCUAACUUCGUGCCAGCAGCCGCGGUAAGACGAGGGAUCCUAUCGUUGUUCGGAAUCAUUGGGCGUAAAGCGGGUGUAGGCGGAUUUAUAAGUCAGGUGUGAAAUCCCAGGGCUCAACCCUGGAAGUGCACUUGAUACUGUAAAUCUUGAGUGUGGUAGAGGUUACUGGAAUUGUUGGUGUAGUGGUGAAAUACGUAGAUAUCAACAGGAAUACCGGAGGCGAAGGCGAGUAACUGGGCCAACACUGACGCUGAGACCCGAAAGCGUGGGGAUCAAACAGGAUUAGAUACCCGAGUAGUCC